RNAcentral lists this ribosomal RNA (423 nucleotides) under uncultured bacterium. RNAcentral's name for it is "bacterial SSU rRNA". It matches the Rfam family "Bacterial small subunit ribosomal RNA", at positions 358 to 773 of the family's 1533-position model. The record is from RNAcentral.
GGAAUAUUGGACAAUGGGGGCAACCCUGAUCCAGCAAUGCCGCGUGUGUGAAGAAGGCCUUCGGGUUGUAAAGCACUGUAAGUUGGGAGGAAAAGCGUGUGGUUCAUAACCGUUAGUGUUGACGUUACCAACAGAAUAAGCACCGGCUAACUGCGUGCCAGCAGCCGCGGUAAUACGGAGGGUGCACGCGUUAAUCGGAAUUACUGGUCGUAAAGCGCGCGUAGGCGGUUUGUUAAGUCAGAUGUGAAAUCCCCGGGCUCAACCUGGGAAUGGCAUUUGAGACUGGCAGGCUAGAGUGUGGUAGAGGUGAGUGGAAUUUCAGGUGUAGCGGUGAAAUGCGUAGAGAUCUGAAGGAACAUCAGUGGCGAAGGCGACUCACUGGGCCAUUACUGACGCUGAGGUGCGAAAGCGUGGGUAGCAAAC